This 398-nucleotide ribosomal RNA is filed under the name uncultured bacterium. RNAcentral's name for it is "bacterial SSU rRNA". It matches the Rfam family "Bacterial small subunit ribosomal RNA", at positions 358 to 773 of the family's 1533-position model. The record is from RNAcentral.
GGAAUUUUGCUCCAUGGGCGAAAGCCUGAAGCAGCAACGCCGCGUGAGGGAUGAAGGCCUUCGGGUUGUAAACCUCUUUUCUCAGGGACGAUAAUGACGGUACCUGAGGAAUAAGCCACGGCUAACUACGUGCCCGCAGCCGCGGCAAUACGUAGGUGGCAAGCGUUGUCCGGAUUUACUGGGCGUAAAGAGCGCGCAGGCGGUCUUGUAAGUCGAAUGUGAAAGCCCCCGGCUCAACUGGGGAGGGUCAUUCGAUACUGCUCGACUUGAAGGCAGGAGAGGGAAGUGGAAUUCCGGGUGUAGUGGUGAAAUGCGUAGAUAUCCGGAGGAACACCAGUGGCGAAGGCGACUUCCUGGCCUGUUCUUGACGCUGAGGCGCGAAAGCUAGGGUAGCAAAC